This 259-nucleotide ribosomal RNA is filed under the name uncultured prokaryote. RNAcentral's name for it is "partial 16S ribosomal RNA". It matches the Rfam family "Bacterial small subunit ribosomal RNA", at positions 524 to 782 of the family's 1533-position model. The record is from RNAcentral.
UACGGAGGAUCCGAGCGUUAUCCGGAUUUAUUGGGUUUAAAGGGUGCGUAGGCGGCUUUUUAAGUCAGCGGUGAAAUUUUGCAGCUUAACUGUAACAGUGCCGUUGAUACUGGGGAGCUAGGAUUUGGUUGCUGUGGGUGGAAUGUGUGGUGUAGCGGUGAAAUGCUUAGAGAUCACACAGAAUAUCGAUUGCGAAGGCAGCUCACAAAGCCAAGAUUGACACUGAGGCGCGAAAGCGUGGGGAGCAAACAGGAUUAGA